GGUGGCCUCUAUUUAUAAGCUAUCACUGAAGGAGGGGAUUGCGUCUGAUUAGCUAGUUGGAGGGGUAACGGCCCACCAAGGCGAUGAUCAGUAGCCGGUCUGAGAGGAUGAACGGCCACAUUGGGACUGAGACACGGCCCAGACUCCUACGGGAGGCAGCAGUGGGGAAUAUUGCACAAUGGGCGAAAGCCUGAUGCAGCGACGCCGCGUGAGGGAUGACGGCCUUCGGGUUGUAAACCUCUUUCGCUCAUGGUCAAGCCGCAGCUUUGGGUUGUGGUGAGGGUAGUGGGUAAAGAAGCGCCGGCUAACUACGUGCCAGCAGCCGCGGUAAUACGUAGGGCGCGAGCGUUGUCCGGAAUUAUUGGGCGUAAAGGGCUUGUAGGCGGUUGGUCGCGUCUGCCGUGAAAUCCUCUGGCUUAACUGGGGGCGUGCGGUGGGUACGGGCUGACUUGAGUGCGGUAGGGGAGACUGGAACUCCUGGUGUAGCGGUGGAAUGCGCAGAUAUCAGGAAGAACACCGGUGGCGAAGGCGGGUCUCUGGGCCGUUACUGACGCUGAGGAGCGAAAGCGUGGGGAGCGAACAGGAUUAGAUACCCUGGUAGUCCACGCUGUAAACGUUGGGCACUAGGUGUGGGGGCCACCCGUGGUUUCUGCGCCGUAGCUAACGCUUUAAGUGCCCCGCCUGGGGAGUACGGCCGCAAGGCUAAAACUCAAAGGAAUUGACGGG
This 726-nucleotide ribosomal RNA is filed under the name uncultured bacterium. Its description in RNAcentral is "bacterial SSU rRNA". It matches the Rfam family "Bacterial small subunit ribosomal RNA", at positions 193 to 917 of the family's 1533-position model. The record is from RNAcentral.